AUUAGAUGAGCCUAUAUUAGAUUAGCUAGUUGGUGGGGUAAUAGCCUACCAAGGUAAUGAUCUAUAGCUGAUCUGAGAGGAUGAUCAGCCACACUGGAACUGAGAUACGGUCCAGACUCCUACGGGAGGCAGCAGUGGGGAAUAUUGGACAAUGGGCGAAAGCCUGAUCCAGCCAUGCCGCAUGAGUGAAGAAGGCCUUUGGGUUGUAAAGCUCUUUUAGUGAGGAAGAUAAUGACGGUACUCACAGAAGAAGUCCUGGCUAACUCCGUGCCAGCAGCCGCAGUAAUACGGAGAGGGCUAGCGUUAUUCGGAAUUAUUGGGCGUAAAGGGCGCGUAGGCUGGUUAAUAAGUUAAAAGUGAAAUCCCGAGGCUUAACCUUGGAAUUGCUUUUAAAACUAUUAAUCUAGAGAUUGAAAGAGGAUAGAGGAAUUCCUGAUGUAGAGGUAAAAUUCGUAAAUAUUAGGAGGAACACCAGUGGCGAAGGCGUCUAUCUGGUUCAAAUCUGACGCUGAAGCGCGAAGGCGUGGGGAGCAAACAGGAUUAGAUACCCUGGUAGUCCACGCUGUAAACGAUGAAUGUUAAAUAUGGGGAG
RNAcentral lists this ribosomal RNA (592 nucleotides) under Wolbachia sp. RNAcentral describes it as "bacterial SSU rRNA". It matches the Rfam family "Bacterial small subunit ribosomal RNA", at positions 220 to 829 of the family's 1533-position model. Lineage: Bacteria; Pseudomonadati; Pseudomonadota; Alphaproteobacteria; Rickettsiales; Anaplasmataceae. The record is from RNAcentral.